ACUAAUUGUACUAACAAUCCUUUGAGAGCAUUCAUUGGGUGCCAAGGGCUCUUUUAAAUGCUUCCCUUAUUACCUAAUUUAAUUCUCACAAGCACACUAUGAUUACCCUUGUUUUAAGUCAGGAAACUGAGGCACAGAAAGGUUAUUGCAGUUCUAUGACAGGCAAGGUGAAGCUUGAGUGUUGGAGACAGCCUGUGGAGUCUGGAAGCAGGGCCUGCCUGCAAGAUGGUUGUCUGGACCCCUUGUGGCUGUUUCCCUGUGAGAAAGACUACGAUUCUGAGCCCACUUUUCUCUUCUGCUCAUUUCAAAGUUCUCACGCAGCUCCUCUGUCCACACAUGUGCCUAUAUGUCCGCACAUUUGACACCAUGGUCACCCAGACUCCAUAGACACUCACACAUGAGCCUCACCAUCAUAGAUUCACAGACACAUGUGCAGGCACUGUGCCACCUUGCCACAGAUACACACACACACACACACACACAGCACGAGUGGGCCUUCAGACCUUGUGGAUGCACUCACACUCACAUGGCCACACCAACUGACAGAUACACAUGUCCCGCCCAAAUCAUCGCCCCUGUUCUGCCUCCCGCAGUGAGAACCAAGCCUCAGGAGUGUGAAAGGGACUUGAGGGCGGGUAGUUACCCUUCCCCCAACCCCAGCGGCUGCAGAGUGGAAGGAACAGCAGGAAGAGGAGAGUGAAUUAAUCCUGGCCUGGCCUCCCUACCCCGGGCGCUCUGUGAUGCUAAUUCCCUCCGCCUUUGAUCCAGCUCAGGCCCCUAACUCUGAGCAGGAGCAGGAGCAGGCGCUGGCCUGGCCUGAGUUGAGGGCUGCCCUGGGUGAGGCCUGGGCAUAUCCCCUGUGUGGCAGAUGGGGGUUUCUACCCUGGGGGAGGGUCUUGGGGAUUAGAGCUCUGUCACUGGCCCUGGCAUUUACAAUGCACUCUCCUUUGCCAGAACUUUCUCAUUUUCUCUCCUCUCCAAGGGGGCCCUGGGGUUCCGCUUUUACUCAGGAGCAGAGUGAAGCCUGGGACUCCAGAGCUUCAGGGCCGGUGAGUGGUGGGUCCAGACCCUGAGCACAAUCUUCCCACCUCCAAUCUCACCCUGUUUCCACUGAGGGUCUUUGUUCUGUCAAUUUUUUAAAAAACCAAUAUUUAUGGAGUAUUCACUACACGCCAG
RNAcentral lists this long non-coding RNA (1176 nucleotides) under Equus caballus (horse). RNAcentral's name for it is "lncRNA (ENSECAG00000048840.1)". Lineage: Eukaryota; Metazoa; Chordata; Mammalia; Perissodactyla; Equidae. The record is from RNAcentral.